GCAAACAGGAUUAGAUACCCUGGUAGUCCACGCCGUAAACGAUGUCGACUUGGAGGUUGUGCCCUUGAGGCGUGGCUUCCGGAGCUAACGCGUUAAGUCGACCGCCUGGGGAGUACGGCCGCAAGGUUAAAACUCAAAUGAAUUGACGGGGGCCCGCACAAGCGGUGGAGCAUGUGGUUUAAUUCGAUGCAACGCGAAGAACCUUACCUGGUCUUGACAUCCACGGAAGUUUUCAGAGAUGAGAAUGUGCCUUCGGGAACCGUGAGACAGGUGCUGCAUGGCUGUCGUCAGCUCGUGUUGUGAAAUGUUGGGUUAAGUCCCGCAACGAGCGCAACCCUUAUCCUUUGUUGCCAGCGGUCCGGCCGGGAACUCAAAGGAGACUGCCAGUGAUAAACUGGAGGAAGGUGGGGAUGACGUCAAGUCAUCAUGGCCCUUACGACCAGGGCUACACACGUGCUACAAUGGCGCAUACAAAGAGAAGCGACCUCGCGAGAGCAAGCGGACCUCAUAAAGUGCGUCGUAGUCCGGAUUGGAGUCUGCAACUCGACUCCAUGAAGUCGGAAUCGCUAGUAAUCGUGGAUCAGAAUGCCACGGUGAAUACGUUCCCGGGCCUUGUACACACCGCCCGUCACACCAUGGGAGUGGGUUGCAAAAGAAGUAGAUAGCUUAACCUUCGGGAGGGCGCUUACCACUUUGUGAUUCAUGACUGGGGUGAAGUCGUAACAAGGUAA
This 731-nucleotide ribosomal RNA is filed under the name Escherichia coli. RNAcentral describes it as "bacterial SSU rRNA". It matches the Rfam family "Bacterial small subunit ribosomal RNA", at positions 768 to 1499 of the family's 1533-position model. Lineage: Bacteria; Pseudomonadati; Pseudomonadota; Gammaproteobacteria; Enterobacterales; Enterobacteriaceae. The record is from RNAcentral.